AGCAGCCGCGGUAAUUCCAGCUCCAAUAGCGUAUAUUAAAGUUGUUGCAGUUAAAAAGCUCGUAGUUGAAUUUCGGGGUCAGUAGGUCGGUCGUGCCACUGGUAUGAACUGGUUUUACUGAUUCCUCCCUCUUGAAGAACUGUAAUGCCAUUAAUUUGGUGUUGCAGGGAAUCAGGACUGUUACUUUAGAAAAAAUUAGAGUGUUUAAAGCAAGCUAACGCUUGAAUACAUUAGCAUGGAAUAA
RNAcentral lists this ribosomal RNA (244 nucleotides) under uncultured Glomus. RNAcentral describes it as "partial 18S ribosomal RNA". It matches the Rfam family "Eukaryotic small subunit ribosomal RNA", at positions 569 to 817 of the family's 1831-position model. Lineage: Eukaryota; Fungi; Glomeromycota; Glomeromycetes; Glomerales; Glomeraceae. The record is from RNAcentral.